GCGGAUUUAGCUCAUCCGGUAGAGCGCCACCUUGCCAAGGUGGAGGCGGCGAGUUCGAGUCUCGUAGUCCGCUCCA
Molecule: transfer RNA, 76 nt
Filed under: Oscillospiraceae bacterium
Lineage: Bacteria; Bacillati; Bacillota; Clostridia; Eubacteriales; Oscillospiraceae
Description: tRNA-Gly
Rfam family: tRNA
About the family: Transfer RNA (tRNA) molecules are approximately 80 nucleotides in length. Their secondary structure includes four short double-helical elements and three loops (D, anti-codon, and T loops).
Source: RNAcentral